Molecule: ribosomal RNA, 164 nt
Filed under: Quercus canariensis
Lineage: Eukaryota; Viridiplantae; Streptophyta; Magnoliopsida; Fagales; Fagaceae
Also listed under: 1 other name
Description: 5.8S ribosomal RNA
Rfam family: 5.8S ribosomal RNA
About the family: 5.8S ribosomal RNA (5.8S rRNA) is a component of the large subunit of the eukaryotic ribosome. It is transcribed by RNA polymerase I as part of the 45S precursor that also contains 18S and 28S rRNA.
Source: RNAcentral
AAAACGACUCUCGGCAACGGAUAUCUAGGCUCUCGCAUCGAUGAAGAACGUAGCGAAAUGCGAUACUUGGUGUGAAUUGCAGAAUCCCGCGAAUCAUCGAGUUUUUGAACGCAAGUUGCGCCCGAAGCCAUUCGGCCGAGGGCACGUCUGCUUGGGUGUCACGC